GGUUAAGCGACUAAGCGUACACGGUGGAUGCCCUGGCAGUCAGAGGCGAUGAAGGACGUGCUAAUCUGCGAUAAGCGUCGGUAAGGUGAUAUGAACCGUUAUAACCGGCGAUUUCCGAAUGGGGAAACCCAGUGUGUUUCGACACACUAUCAUUAACUGAAUCCAUAGGUUAAUGAGGCGAACCGGGGGAACUGAAACAUCUAAGUACCCCGAGGAAAAGAAAUCAACCGAGAUUCCCCCAGUAGCGGCGAGCGAACGGGGAGCAGCCCAGAGCCUGAAUCAGUGUGUGUGUUAGUGGAAGCGUCUGGAAAGGCGCGCGAUACAGGGUGACAGCCCCGUACACAAAAAUGCACAUGCUGUGAGCUCGAUGAGUAGGGCGGGACACGUGGUAUCCUGUCUGAAUAUGGGGGGACCAUCCUCCAAGGCUAAAUACUCCUGACUGACCGAUAGUGAACCAGUACCGUGAGGGAAAGGCGAAAAGAACCCCGGCGAGGGGAGUGAAAAAGAACCUGAAACCGUGUACGUACAAGCAGUGGGAGCACGCUUAGGCGUGUGACUGCGUACCUUUUGUAUAAUGGGUCAGCGACUUAUAUUCUGUAGCAAGGUUAACCGAAUAGGGGAGCCGAAGGGAAACCGAGUCUUAACUGGGCGUUAAGUUGCAGGGUAUAGACCCGAAACCCGGUGAUCUAGCCAUGGGCAGGUUGAAGGUUGGGUAACACUAACUGGAGGACCGAACCGACUAAUGUUGAAAAAUUAGCGGAUGACUUGUGGCUGGGGGUGAAAGGCCAAUCAAACCGGGAGAUAGCUGGUUCUCCCCGAAAGCUAUUUAGGUAGCGCCUCGUGAAUUCAUCUCCGGGGGUAGAGCACUGUUUCGGCAAGGGGGUCAUCCCGACUUACCAACCCGAUGCAAACUGCGAAUACCGGAGAAUGUUAUCACGGGAGACACACGGCGGGUGCUAACGUCCGUCGUGAAGAGGGAAACAACCCAGACCGCCAGCUAAGGUCCCAAAGUCAUGGUUAAGUGGGAAACGAUGUGGGAAGGCCCAGACAGCCAGGAUGUUGGCUUAGAAGCAGCCAUCAUUUAAAGAAAGCGUAAUAGCUCACUGGUCGAGUCGGCCUGCGCGGAAGAUGUAACGGGGCUAAACCAUGCACCGAAGCUGCGGCAGCGACGCUGAUGCGUUGUUGGGUAGGGGAGCGUUCUGUAAGCCUGCGAAGGUGUGCUGUGAGGCAUGCUGGAGGUAUCAGAAGUGCGAAUGCUGACAUAAGUAACGAUAAAGCGGGUGAAAAGCCCGCUCGCCGGAAGACCAAGGGUUCCUGUCCAACGUUAAUCGGGGCAGGGUGAGUCGACCCCUAAGGCGAGGCCGAAAGGCGUAGUCGAUGGGAAACAGGUUAAUAUUCCUGUACUUGGUGUUACUGCGAAGGGGGGACGGAGAAGGCUAUGUUGGCCGGGCGACGGUUGUCCCGGUUUAAGCGUGUAGGCUGGUUUUCCAGGCAAAUCCGGAAAAUCAAGGCUGAGGCGUGAUGACGAGGCACUACGGUGCUGAAGCAACAAAUGCCCUGCUUCCAGGAAAAGCCUCUAAGCAUCAGGUAACAUCAAAUCGUACCCCAAACCGACACAGGUGGUCAGGUAGAGAAUACCAAGGCGCUUGAGAGAACUCGGGUGAAGGAACUAGGCAAAAUGGUGCCGUAACUUCGGGAGAAGGCACGCUGAUAUGUAGGUGAAGUCCCUUGCGGAUGGAGCUGAAAUCAGUCGAAGAUACCAGCUGGCUGCAACUGUUUAUUAAAAACACAGCACUGUGCAAACACGAAAGUGGACGUAUACGGUGUGACGCCUGCCCGGUGCCGGAAGGUUAAUUGAUGGGGUUAGCCGCAAG
RNAcentral lists this ribosomal RNA (1874 nucleotides) under Escherichia coli. Its description in RNAcentral is "partial 23S ribosomal RNA". It matches the Rfam family "Bacterial large subunit ribosomal RNA", at positions 1 to 1899 of the family's 2925-position model. The record is from RNAcentral. Lineage: Bacteria; Pseudomonadati; Pseudomonadota; Gammaproteobacteria; Enterobacterales; Enterobacteriaceae.